UACGUAGGGUGCGAGCGUUAAUCGGAAUUACUGGGCGUAAAGCGUGCGCAGGCGGUUCGCUAAGACCGAUGUGAAAUCCCCGGGCUUAACCUGGGAACUGCAUUGGUGACUGGCGGGCUAGAGUAUGGCAGAGGGGGGUAGAAUUCCACGUGUAGCAGUGAAAUGCGUAGAGAUGUGGAGGAACACCGAUGGCGAAGGCAGCCCCCUGGGCCAAUACUGACGCUCAUGCACGAAAGCGUGGGGAGCAAACAGG
RNAcentral lists this ribosomal RNA (253 nucleotides) under uncultured bacterium. Its description in RNAcentral is "partial 16S ribosomal RNA". It matches the Rfam family "Bacterial small subunit ribosomal RNA", at positions 524 to 776 of the family's 1533-position model. The record is from RNAcentral.